CCACCGACUCGGUUUCCUCCUGGGAGGCUCUCCGCUAUAAAUCCAUCCCGAUCCCCCUGCCUCUCUUCCAUGGCUUCCUUCUCUUCUCGCGUGGUUUGUUCCUCCCCCGUCUCUCCCGCCGCGGGUGGCUGGUAAGUCAGUAGGUAAGGAGCAAUCAAUUUCGAUCUCACCUCGUUCUCUGCCCUUUGUUCGUCAGGUGAAUACUCGAUCGGUUCUAUUCAAUUUGGUUUGGGGGUCUGUUUUCGGCGCUGCUUGAUCCGUUCGGUUUGGGGUGUCUAUUUUCGGCGAUUCGUCUCUGCUGUUGCGUUAGUUUUCUGAAUGGUACCCUAGUUUUGAUUUGUUUAUGGCUAAUCGUGAUUUUCUGCUUUGGCAAUAUACUCUGUUAAGAUUGCACGGCCGAGUUGUUUUGCCCCAAUUUCUGUUCGUGGGAUGAAUUUUUCAUGUAGGUUAAGAUAUCUUGUGAAUGAUCAAUGGUAGAUAAACAGAAGUUUGUGUCCUGAAAUUGGUCAAUGGCCUAAAGAGUACAGGAUUGUUCUGUUCCUUUCAAGUUUUGAAGCUUGGUAGUUCAAGACAUUUCGGCUGCUUGCAAUUAUGCAAUUUUUGUUUCAGAUCUGUUUAUUUCAUGAUAACGUCAAGUACUAUCGGAACAUGUAAACAGGAUUUGAGAUGGUUUUCUUAGGUUUGUUCAGACCUUUCAAAUCACCAUGAUGUUAAUUUGCUCGAUUCCGUCAAGACGUACUCUUCAGAUUAUAUGAGGAUGGUUGGGUGUUACCUAAAGGGCCAUGCAGUGCUUUUUGGCUUUUUAAAAAAUUGGAACAAAUGUGCUAAAAGUUUUGAGAUAAAGAGGGCGGUGCUAUAGUUCCAGUUUUUAUUCAUGAGGAUUAAAGGAGCUCUUUUUGACUGCCUUCCCUGCGGAUUAAUUUUAUGCUAGUACAUGAACUACAGAUUACUUACCUGCUCGGUUUGAGUUGGUUUGCUUCCAUUACCACCGAUGUCCGACCCCUUUAUCUGUAAUAUGAAUAAUAUGAAAAAUUUUGGCAUAUUAAAACCAGAGAAAUUGAAGCAUGUGGUGGUCAUGUUUAGGAUUAGUCAUUGGUGAUGGUUUCUCCGUUCCAUUCAAGACUGGUGCUAUUUUUUUCUGAUCAAAACUAAAAAGUGAUGAUCUUAUUUGGAGGCAAUUUGUCUGCUUGGAAAUCUGUAGUUACAAGUCCAAUCCUGGUAGUACACUUGUAUGGUUAAUUCAUUUUUGUCGGAACAUUUAGACGUGGUCAUAGUUCUCAGAGGAUUUUGAUUAUUUGUUUUCUUCCGGCAAGCUAUAUUAGUCAGUUAUUGUGAAGGUGAUUAUGUAGUAGCUAAAAGGGGCACCCUAAAGUUUCUGUGGUUGAGGAUUCCUUUGGCAGUUACUUCCUUUGAACAAUAUAAAAAGCUGUGAAGAUGAUUCUGGAAUCUUACUAUUUUUGGUCAAAUUAAUUCGAAGAUCUGUUUCGAGAAAAUAUAUGGACCUGAAUUUGCAUGCCUGCCCUGAAGAUAAGUCGAUGUUGAUUGUAAAGUGUGACAUUAUAAAGCUAUCUGUUUGUCGGUUCUUCUGGGUAGAAAUUUAUGGACUCUGGAGGAGCUGAGUUCUCGGUAGCACUAAUUUCUAAUUGGUUGAUCCUUUUUGUUUCUCCAGUAGUAUCUUUACAUCUAGGCUUUGUACUGUUCCAUGAUUAGCUAGAUUGUGGGUUCAUUCCAAUAUAGGGUUGGCCCUUUGUCUGUUUGUCUGGUGUAUUGUCUUGUAAUCCUUGUGUUUAUUAAGCAUCCUUCAGAUGUUGCAAAUUGUAAAUAUAAAAUGAUACAGACGUCCUUGUCCUGAUUUA
Molecule: long non-coding RNA, 1856 nt
Organism: Oryza brachyantha (malo sina)
Lineage: Eukaryota; Viridiplantae; Streptophyta; Magnoliopsida; Poales; Poaceae
Exons: 2
Source: RefSeq, a predicted model, not a curated record